RNAcentral lists this ribosomal RNA (253 nucleotides) under uncultured bacterium. RNAcentral describes it as "partial 16S ribosomal RNA". It matches the Rfam family "Bacterial small subunit ribosomal RNA", at positions 524 to 776 of the family's 1533-position model. The record is from RNAcentral.
UACGAAGGGGGCUAGCGUUGCUCGGAAUCACUGGGCGUAAAGCGCACGUAGGCGGACUCUUAAGUCGGUGGUGAAAUCCUGGAGCUCAACUCCAGAACUGCCUUCGAUACUGAGAGUCUCGAGUCCGGGAGAGGUGAGUGGAACUGCGAGUGUAGAGGUGAAAUUCGUAGAUAUUCGCAAGAACACCAGUGGCGAAGGCGGCUCACUGGCCCGGUAUUGACGCUGAGGCGCGAAAGCCAGGGGAGCAAACGGG